Vigna angularis (adzuki bean) is the source of this 7293-nucleotide RNA transcript. It is a transcript of the gene named citrate synthase, glyoxysomal, with no coding region annotated. The record is from RefSeq and is a predicted model, not a curated record. The transcript has 2 exons. Lineage: Eukaryota; Viridiplantae; Streptophyta; Magnoliopsida; Fabales; Fabaceae.
GUACUGUGUAAAGUCUGAUUGAUAUUUGUAUCUGUUAGAAUUAUUGGUUUAUGUGUGAGUGGGUAUGAGCUGUGUGUGAGUGUGUAUGAGCUGUGUGUGAGUGUGUAUGAGUUGUGUGUGAGUUGUGUUAAGUGUGUUACAACUAGAGAGCACUCUCUCUAGUUCUAUAAAUGUAAGCUUAAGAGUAGAAAUGAAAUAAGAACUUUGAGAAACAUUUUUUUCUCUCUUUUAGAUCUUAAGUUGGUAUCAGAGCGGGUUCAUCCUGCUCUGGUUUUCGUGUGUUGUCCACCAGCACUGUCACUGCUGGUCGCACCUGUCCGGUGCCGUUAGUCGUUGUCUGCGGCUGUCUCGCCACUAUCUGCAGUUGUCAACUGCAGUUUCAAGUUCUUCAACUUGGUUAUCCGCCAUCCAGGUAUCUGUCUGCCGCCGUCCGCCGCCGUCCGCCGUCACAGUUCCGUCCAGCGACCACUGGAUCUGGUUCGCCUCUUCACGCGAAAGCCAACCCCACCGGUGGGUUCGCCUGAUUCUCCUCCACGCUCCGUCACGCGCCGCCGCUUUGUGCGCUGCGAACAAGCGCGUGCUGCCCACGCGCCGCCAUCUGCUCACCGGAAAGUCUCCGCGCCACCUCCAUAGCUGUCGUCCUCAGCUCCUCUGUCCGUUCUGACCCUCAAAAUCUUACUUUAGUGGGUCUAGAAGCUUCUCUUUAAGAAAUCCUUAAGAAACCCUCUAGGGUUUUCGGGUCCUACACGGUUUUUCUUAUUCUUUCUUGAAAAAUGGCAUCUGGAAGUGCUCUUUCUUUCUCUGGAAGUCCCUCAAUCACUUCCGAAAAGCUAAAUGGAAAGAAUUAUAUGUCUUGGUCUGCUGCUGUAGAAAUGUGGUUCCUUGGUCAAGGACGUUAUGACCACCUUGAGCAGGAUGAGAGUCAAGUACCUUCUGACAAAGCUGAACAAUGGAAACAAGCUGAUUUUCAACUGUGUGCCCUAUUGUGGCAAUCUGUGGAACCCCGACUUUUGAUAUCUCUUAGAGCCUUCAAGACAUGUCACACCUUUUGGAAGAAAGCCCAAAGCAUUUAUGCUAAUGAUAUUCAACGUCUCUAUGAUACCGCAAACAAGCUCGCCUGUCUCAAAAUGACAGACCAUGAUAUGGUCUCCUUCAUGACGGAUGCCCAAGCAGCUGUGGAAGAAUUGAGAAUGUUCUUGGAAUCUUCAGAAGAUAUCAAAAAGAAGCUUGACCAGUAUUAUAUGGUAAUGAUCCUACGUGCUUUGCAUCCAGAUUUGAAUCACAUCAGAGAUCAACUUCUGACAAGUCAUGAAGUCCCUUCCUUGGAAGCCUUGACCACACGUCUUCUUCGUGUUCCUGUGCCUCAGUCUCAGGAAACUCAUGAAACAAUAGAACCAUCUGUCAUGGUUGCCACGCGAGGAAGAGGACGUGGAACUAGAGGAGGAGGACGUGGAGGACGUGGAGGUCGGGGACGUCAAUGCUCUUACUGUAACAGGAUGGGUCACACCCAAGAAAACUGCUACUCCUUGCAUGGCUUUCCUUCAAAAACCGCCAAUAUCUCUCAGGCUGAAACUUCCACUUCCAACUCCAAGUUUACUGAGGAAGAGUAUCAAGAGUAUCUGCGCUUAAAGUCUAACAGCUUGGCACAAUCAUCUCAGUCCUCAAGCACAUCCACAACUUGCAUUUCUCAAUCCAUGGCAGGUCCAAAUUCAUGGGUAAUUGACUCGGGUGCUUCUGAUCACAUUUCUGGUAAUACCUCAUUGUUCUCAAAUCUUUCUCUCCAAGAAAAACCUCAUUUCAUUACCCUUGCAAAUGGCUCUAAAACUUGUUCAAAGGGAAUCGGUCAAGUUUCCCUGUCUCCCUCUCUAACUCUAAAAUCCGUUCUUUUUGUUCCUAACUGUCCAUUCAAUUUAAUUUCCCUAAGUCAGUUAACCAAAAUAUUAAACUGUUCAAUAACGUUUGAUUCAAAAUCUUUUGUUAUACAGGAGCGUGGCUCGGGGAGACAGAUUGGAGAAGGAUAUGAAGCUGGAGGUUUAUACCAUUUUGGAUUUCGUCCACGGGUAUCUUGUGUUGCCGCUCUUCCCCCUAAAGUGUUACAUGAUCGGUUUGGCCAUCCUAACUUGUCAAAAUUAAAAAAGAUGUGUCCUGAACUUAGUGGUCUUCAAACUUUAGAAUGUGAGUCCUGUCAACUAGGAAAACAUGUUAGAUCUGUCUUCCCUAAAAGAUCUCAAUCAAUGUGUACUUCUAGUUUUUCUAUUAUUCAUUCUGAUGUCUGGGGACCUAGUCGCGUCUCUUCUUUUGGUUUUCGGUAUUUUGUUACCUUUAUUGAUGAGUAUUCUAGAUGUACUUGGGUUUAUCUGAUGAAAGAUCGCUCUGAAUUGUUACCUAUUUUCACAUCCUUUUUGAAUGAAAUCAAAAACCAAUUUGGCCAAGUAAUUAAAGUCUUAAGAAGUGAUAAUGCUAAAGAGUAUUUCUCAUCAACUUUUUCUUCACUUCUUAGCUCCCAUGGUAUUUUGCAUCAGUCCACUUGUCCUCAUACACCCCAGCAAAAUGGUAUAGCCGAAAGAAAAAAUAGACACUUGGUUGAAACGGCUCGUACUCUUUUGCUUGGUGCUCACAUUCCUAUUCAUCACUGGGGGGAUGCCAUCUUAACUGCAUGUUUUCUUAUUAAUAGAAUGCCCUCCUCCUCUCUCAAUAAUAAAGUUCCUUUCUCCGUUCUCUUUCCCAAUAACCCUCUCUUUCACACCUCUCCUCGAGUCUUUGGUUGUGUUUGUUUUGUUCAUGACAUGUCUCCGGGACUUGACAAGCUCUCUGCUCGUGCGAUCAAAUGUGUCUUUUUGGGCUAUUCUCGACUUCAAAAAGGGUAUCGAUGUUACUCUCCUGAAACCAAGAAAUACUACAUGUCUGCUAAUGUUACCUUCUUUGAACAGACACCUUUCUUCUCUCCAUCUGUUCAAGAUGUUCAUAUCCUCCAACAGGUACUUCCUAUUCCAGUAGUUGAGUCUAAUAUCUCAAAUACCUCAGUCAAUCCAAGUAAUACCCAAGGUCCUCUCGAACCUUCCUCUCCACAUACUGAUAACCUUCGACACAGUACCCCGAUGGAUAAUCCUCUUCCAGAAAAUGGUGGAUCUCCUUCUUCAGAUUCUUCUUCGUCACCAUCUCCUGUCACGCCUCCUGGUGAAGAUGAUUUUGGUUGGCCCAUUGCUCUCAGAAAAGGUAAUCGUUCCACUCGAAAUCCUCAUCCCAUUUAUAAUUUUCUUAGUUAUCACAGAGUGUCGCCCUCCUUUUAUUCACUUUUAUCCUCAGUGUCUCCUGUGGUUAUUCCUAAAACUGUGAAGGAAGCACUUGAUCAUCCUGGAUGGCGACACGCCAUGAUUGAAGAAAUGCAGGCUCUUGACCACAGUCAUACUUGGGAGCUUGUGCCACUUCCCCCAGGCAAAAAGGCUGUUGGUUGUCGAUGGGUAUAUGCAAUUAAAGUCGGUCCUAAUGGUGACAUUGAUAGACUCAAAGCUCGACUGGUUGCAAAAGGGUACACUCAGGUUUAUGGUCUUGAUUAUUGUGAUACCUUCUCUCCUGUGGCAAAGAUGACUACCAUUCGAUUGUUCUUUGCAAUGGCAGCCAUUCGUCAUUGGCCGCUUCAUCAAUUGGAUAUCAAAAAUGCCUUUCUCCAUGGUGAUCUUGAGGAAGAGGUUUAUAUGGAGCAACCUCCUGGGUUUGUUGCUCAGGGGGAGUCUGGGUUUGUUACGACCUAAGGUAGGGGUAAUAAUAAGGGUUGGAAAGUAUAUGAGCAGAAAGAAUAUUUAGUAUAAGUUAAUUAGAGUAAAUAAAUAUAGUAUAAGUUAAUUAGAGUAAAUAAAUAUAUAUUUAGGGAAAUAUUCAAUAUAAGAUAUUUAUAAUUAAGGAUAUAUACUAGAAUAAUAUACGGAGAGAUAUUUAUAUUAAAUAUAGGGAUAUUUAUAUUAAAUAUUAAAUAUAAGGAUAUUUAUAUUAAAUGCAGAUAUAUUCUAGAGGAAUAUUUAAUAAGAGAUGGGCGGGAAUUAAUUAAUAUAAAUAAGGUUAGAGUCCAGGGUUAAAGGACAGGCUUUUGAUUAUUGAGUUUUGUGACAGACAUUAUUGUCUUGUGAGGGAGGUUAUGCUCUCAAAGUAAUUGAAGGAGGUUAUGCUCCCAAUUAUUGUUUAUCCUUGUUAAUUCAGAUAUUACCAUCAAUAAAAGAGAUUCAUUCAUCCAAUAUUAUUCGUUUAUUGUUCUAUUCCGUGUGAGAGAGAGUGAAAGGUUGUAUUUGGCUAGUUUACGUACUCAGGUACGUAACAAUUGGUCCGACCUGCCGGAUCGUCAAGGGAGGAAACUGCCGGAUCGUCAAGGGAGGAAACUGUCGGAUCGUCAAGGGAGGAAACUGCCGGAUCCUAAUAGAGACGAGUGAAAGACAUCAUGGAGGGAAGAAUAAAUGCAGUUGAAGGGAAACUGGAGAGCAUGGAGCAGAGAAUAAAGAACAUGGAGUUCUCCCUAAGGAGGUUGAAGGCAGAGUUGAGUGGAAUACGCCAUGAAGUCCAAGCUCCAAAUGGGAAGGGACUGCUGGAACCAAACGAUAGUGGACUAACGGAUCCGAACGUGAGCGAACGGCCAGAACUGAACGAUAGCAGACUGCUGGAUCCGAACGUGAAAGAACGGACGGAACCUAUAGAGAGAGGACUUACCGAGCCGAACGGGAGGAGACGGCCAGAACCGAGCGUGAGAAAACUACCUGAACCAAACGGUCUAGUAUUGGAAGGAAGGAUGAAGGCUUUGGAAGGAAGGGCAAAUGGAAGAAUCAAUACCCUGGAGAGAACAAUGGAGUCUGUGAAGAGAUGGGCCGACAAAAAGAACAGGGGGCUUGCAGUGUUUGGUACACUGGCAGAAGGAAGAGCGCGACGUGAAGUACUGAAAGACAUUGAAAACCAUUCCCUCAGGGCUUAUGAUUUAGGAGAAGUGGUAACGAGAAUGCUGGAUGAAGAAUGGAAGACAUUAGAGAAGGUUUUACCACCACCCGAACCUCCAGACAUGAAUUGAUGAGGAGCCAUGAGGUCCAGCUCCCUGUUUCCAACCUUGAGGACAAGGUUGUUUUGCAGCGGGGUGUAAUGUUACAACCUAAGGUAGGGGUAAUAAUAAGGGUUGGAAAGUAUAUGAGCAGAAAGAAUAUUUAGUAUAAGUUAAUUAGAGUAAAUAAAUAUAGUAUAAGUUAAUUAGAGUAAAUAAAUAUAUAUUUAGGGAAAUAUUCAAUAUAAGAUAUUUAUAAUUAAGGAUAUAUACUAGAAUAAUAUACGGAGAGAUAUUUAUAUUAAAUAUAGGGAUAUUUAUAUUAAAUAUUAAAUAUAAGGAUAUUUAUAUUAAAUGCAGAUAUAUUCUAGAGGAAUAUUUAAUAAGAGAUGGGCGGGAAUUAAUUAAUAUAAAUAAGGUUAGAGUCCAGGGUUAAAGGACAGGCUUUUGAUUAUUGAGUUUUGUGACAGACAUUAUUGUCUUGUGAGGGAGGUUAUGCUCUCAAAGUAAUUGAAGAAGGUUAUGCUCCCAAUUAUUGUUUAUCCUUGUUAAUUCAGAUAUUACCAUCAAUAAAAGAGAUUCAUUCAUCCAAUAUUAUUCGUUUAUUGUUCUAUUCCGUGUGAGAGAGAGUGAAAGGUUGUAUUUGGCUAGUUUACGUACUCAGGUACGUAACAGGUUUAUAUGGAGCAACCUCCUGGGUUUGUUGCUCAGGGGGAGUCUGGUAUGGUUUGUAAAUUGAACCGAUCUCUAUAUGGGCUCAAGCAAUCACCACGUGCUUGGUUUGGAAAGUUUAGCUCCAUUGUUCAAAAAUUUGGGCUACGACGCAGUGAAGCAGAUCAUUCAGUCUUUUAUUAUCAUUCAUCUCCAGGGAAAUGUGUUUACUUGAUAGUAUAUGUUGAUGAUAUAGUUAUUACAGGAAAUGAUACUGCUGGAAUAUCUCAACUGAAGGAGUAUUUGUGUAGACAUUUCCAAACCAAGGAUCUUGGGAGCCUCAAAUACUUCCUAGGCAUUGAAGUAGCUCAGUCAAAAGAUGGAGUUGUAAUCUCCCAAAGGAAGUAUGCUCUGGAUAUUUUGCAAGAAACAGGCAUGAUUGAUUGUAGACCGGUUGAUAGCCCUAUGGAUCCAAAUCAAAAAUUGACAACAGAAGAAGGUGAGUUAUUCUCCGACCCAGAGAGAUAUAGGAGGCUAGUUGGGAAACUAAUCUAUCUUACUAUUACAAGGCCGGAUCUAUCUUUUGCAGUUGGAGUGGUUAGUCAGUUCAUGCAAGCUCCAUGUGUUGGCCAUUGGAAUGCUAUCAUUCGCAUUCUAAGGUAUGUAAAAAAGGCUCCUGGGCAAGGGCUGUUAUAUGAAGAAAAAGGAAGCCUUCAGGUAUCAGGAUAUUGUGAUGCUGAUUGGGCAGGUUCUCCUAUUGAUAGACGAUCUACUACUGGAUAUUGUGUUUUCCUUGGAGGAAACAUUAUCUCAUGGAAAAGUAAGAAACAAAAUGUAGUGGCUCGAUCAACAGCUGAAGCUGAAUAUAGGGCAAUGGCUUCAUUAACAUGUGAACUUAUAUGGGUAAAGCAGUUCCUUCAAGAACUUAACUUCUGUGACAUCCAGAGUAUGAAGAUGUAUUGUGAUAACCAAGCUGCUCUUCACAUUGCAUCAAAUCCAGUGUUUCACGAGAGAACCAAACAUAUAGAAAUUGAUUGUCAUUUUGUUCGGGAAAAGUUAUUGUCAAAAGAAAUAUGUACUGAGUUUGUUGGAUCAAAUGACCAACUCGCAGAUAUGUUGACUAAGUCAUUAAGGGGACCUCGGAUUGAGUUUAUUUGUUCCAAGCUUAGCACAUACAAUUUGUAUGCUCCAGCUUGAGGGGGAGUGUUAGAAUUAUUGGUUUAUGUGUGAGUGGGUAUGAGCUGUGUGUGAGUGUGUAUGAGCUGUGUGUGAGUGUGUAUGAGUUGUGUGUGAGUUGUGUUAAGUGUGUUACAACUAGAGAGCACUCUCUCUAGUUCUAUAAAUGUAAGCUUAAGAGUAGAAAUGAAAUAAGAACUUUGAGAAACAUUUUUUUCUCUCUUUUAGAUCUUAAGUGUAUCAACCUGAAGUUGUUUCUUGUGUUAAGUUAUUUCUUCGUCUGAUCUUCAUGGAUUUUCUUUUUCUUUUCUUCAUAUAUGUAAAAAAUCAAAAUCUUAUGAAUCAAAAGUAACAAGAUUUACUCACCAAAAGUGGCAAUCGAUCAUAUAAACCUAAUCCCCGGCUAACUCGAGCGCUAGAUAUUAUCUUCAUCCUGCAUGCAGAACAUGAAA